AACAGAGUUAAGAAUGCCAACAAUAAAAAUAAAAUUGUCACAUGCUUCCUAAACUAACAGUGAAACGUACGUCUGUGGUAGUAUAUAAUAUAUAAAGAUAGAUAGAAUCUGCAGCCUGUUGGAGUGUGGGUGUGUUCUGUGGUAGUAUAUAAUAUAUAAAGAUAGAUAGAAUCUGCAGCCUGUUGGAAGGUGGGUGUGUUCUGUGGUAGUAUAUAAUAUAUAAAGAUACAGAUAGAAUCUGCAGCCUGUUGGAAGGUGGGUGUGUUCUGUGGUAGUAUAUAAUAUAUAAAGAUACAGAUAGAAUCUGCAGCCUGUUGGAAGGUGGGUGUGUUCUGUGGUAGUAUAUAAUAUAUAAAGAUACAGAUAGAAUCUGCAGCCUGUUGGAAGGUGGGUGUGUUCUGUGGUAGUAUAUAAUAUAUAAAGAUACAGAUAGAAUCUGCAGCCUGUUGGAAGGUGGGUGUGUUCUGUGGUAGUAUAUAAUAUAUAAAGAUACAGAUAGAAUCUGCAGCCUGUUGGAAGGUGGGUGUGUUCUGUGGUAGUAUAUAAUAUAUAAAGAUACAGAUAGAAUCUGCAGCCUGUUGGAAGGUGGGUGUGUUCUGUGGUAGUAUAUAAUAUAUAAAGAUAGAUAGAAUCUGCAGCCUGUUGGAAGGUGGGUGUGUUCUGUGGUAGUAUAUAAUAUAUAAAGAUAGAUAGAAUCUGCAGCCUGUUGGAAGGUGGGUGUGUUCUGUGGUAGUAUAUAAUAUAUAAAGAUAGAUAGAAUCUGCAGCCUGUUGGAGGGUGGGUGUGUUCUGUGGUAGUAUAUAAUAUAUAAAGAUACAGAUAGAAUCUGCAGCCUGUUGGAAGGUGGGUGUGUUCUGUGGUAGUAUAUAAUAUAUAAAGAUACAGAUAGAAUCUGCAGCCUGUUGGAGGGUGGGUGUGUUCUGUGGUAGUAUAUAAUAUAUAAAGAUAGAUAGAAUCUGCAGCCUGUUGGAGUGUGGGUGUGUUCUGUGGUAGUAUAUAAUAUAUAAAGAUACAGAUAGAAUCUGCAGCCUGUUGGAAGGUGGGUGUGUUCUGUGGUAGUAUAUAAUAUAUAAAGAUAGAUAGAAUCUGCAGCCUGUUGGAGGGUGGGUGUGUUCUGUGGUAGUAUAUAAUAUAUAAAGAUACAGAUAGAAUCUGCAGCCUGUUGGAGGGUGGGUGUGUUCUGUGGUAGUAUAUAAUAUAUAAAGAUACAGAUAGAAUCUGCAGCCUGUUGGAAGGUGGGUGUGUUCUGUGGUAGUAUAUAAUAUAUAAAGAUACAGAUAGAAUCUGCAGCCUGUUGGAAGGUGGGUGUGUUCUGUGGUAGUAUAUAAUAUAUAAAGAUACAGAUAGAAUCUGCAGCCUGUUGGAAGGUGGGUGUGUUCUGUGGUAGUAUAUAAUAUAUAAAGAUACAGAUAGAAUCUGCAGCCUGUUGGAAGGUGGGUGUGUUCUGUGGUAGUAUAUAAUAUAUAAAGAUAGAUAGAAUCUGCAGCCUGUUGGAAGGUGGGUGUGUUCUGUGGUAGUAUAUAAUAUAUAAAGAUAGAUAGAAUCUGCAGCCUGUUGGAAGGUGGGUGUGUUCUGUGGUAGUAUAUAAUAUAUAAAGAUACAGAUAGAAUCUGCAGCCUGUUGGAAGGUGGGUGUGUUCUGUGGUAGUAUAUAAUAUAUAAAGAUAGAUAGAAUCUGCAGCCUGUUGGAAGGUGGGUGUGUUCUGUGGUAGUAUAUAAUAUAUAAAGAUAGAUAGAAUCUGCAGCCUGUUGGAAGGUGGGUGUGUUCUGUGGUAGUAUAUAAUAUAUAAAGAUACAGAUAGAAUCUGCAGCCUGUUGGAGGGUGGGUGUGUUCUGUGGUAGUAUAUAAUAUAUAAAGAUACAGAUAGAAUCUGCAGCCUGUUGGAAGGUGGGUGUGUUCUGUGGUAGUAUAUAAUAUAUAAAGAUACAGAUAGAAUCUGCAGCCUGUUGGAAGGUGGGUGUGUUCUGUGGUAGUAUAUAAUAUAUAAAGAUAGAUAGAAUCUGCAGCCUGUUGGAGGGUGGGUGUGUUCUGUGGUAGUAUAUAAUAUAUAAAGAUACAGAUAGAAUCUGCAGCCUGUUGGAGGGUGGGUGUGUUCUGUGGUAGUAUAUAAUAUAUAAAGAUACAGAUAGAAUCUGCAGCCUGUUGGAAGGUGGGUGUGUUCUGUGGUAGUAUAUAAUAUAUAAAGAUAGAUAGAAUCUGCAGCCUGUUGGAAGGUGGGUGUGUUCUGUGGUAGUAUAUAAUAUAUAAAGAUAGAUAGAAUCUGCAGCCUGUUGGAAGGUGGGUGUGUUCUGUGGUAGUAUAUAAUAUAUAAAGAUAGAUAGAAUCUGCAGCCUGUUGGAGGGUGGGUGUGUUCUGUGGUAGUAUAUAAUAUAUAAAGAUAGAUAGAAUCUGCAGCCUGUUGGAAGGUGGGUGUGUUCUGUGGUAGUAUAUAAUAUAUAAAGAUAGAUAGAAUCUGCAGCCUGUUGGAAGGUGGGUGUGUUCUGUGGUAGUAUAUAAUAUAUAAAGAUAGAUAGAAUCUGCAGCCUGUUGGAAGGUGGGUGUGUUCUGUGGUAGUAUAUAAUAUAUAAAGAUACAGAUAGAAUCUGCAGCCUGUUGGAAGGUGGGUGUGUUCUGUGGUAGUAUAUAAUAUAUAAAGAUAGAU
Long non-coding RNA from Oncorhynchus keta (chum salmon), 2641 nucleotides. RefSeq lists it as uncharacterized. The transcript is spliced from 4 exons. NCBI's taxonomy places the organism in Eukaryota, Metazoa, Chordata, Actinopteri, Salmoniformes, Salmonidae. The record is from RefSeq and is a predicted model, not a curated record.